CCUCUUCAGAGAAAACACAAGCCACAGAGAUUUUUUGCAACUCAUGUUUUCCCAGGGUGCACCGUCAAGCUCUGGCUCAAUGAAACUCAAUUGGUCAAGACCCUUGCCUCAGUCAGUCAUUCUGGAUAACCACCAUGAGUCCUGCAAAGCCCUUCAGUAAUCUAUUGCCUUCCUAGGUGAUGUGUACCCAGGGUCCUGCAAUAUACUUUGUGACACCAAAUAUAAAGAGGGUCCUGUUGCUUCUGGACAGCUGAAACCUGCGAGUCACAGGGAGGCUCUGACCAUUCAUCCACCACAACUCAGAAAACACCACUGGAGUUUACGUUUGUGUGAAUUAGGAAGAGUCUAAGUGAGAUGCCAAUGGCUCGUGUGUCUCCCCACACGAAGAACUCCAACUCAUGAAAACGGCAUCAUCAUGAGGAAACAGUUGUAUGUGGCACAGGCAGUGAAACCAUCAGAUAGCACCCACGUGGCCACCUCCAACUGGUCCCCAAAACCACCAGUAUUCCUAUUACGUGUAUG
Long non-coding RNA from Symphalangus syndactylus (siamang), 522 nucleotides. RefSeq lists it as uncharacterized. The record is from RefSeq and is a predicted model, not a curated record. Lineage: Eukaryota; Metazoa; Chordata; Mammalia; Primates; Hylobatidae.